GAAGACAUUUCAAGCCAAAGUUACUGAAAGCUUCCCCCAUGGAUAUACCAUUGAAACCAUCAUAGAUGGAAAGCCUCUACGUGGAAUAUUAUUUGCCAACAAGCCAAUCACUCCCCAGACGUCUAAUCAUAAUAAUACAAGGAAAAGGGCUGGUGGGGAAAUUGGCACUGGUAUGUUGAAUGGUGAUCACAACAACAAAGCAAAAGUCUCUAGAAUCCUCAAGCAGGAUACAGUUGAUCACAUACAACCAGAAAAUGCUCAUGGGAAGGAGACUGCAUCACAUGAACCCAAGACAGAAGCUGCUGUUGCGCCUGGUUUAAAGAACCUUGCAUCUUCUGAUGUUUCUCAGCUCCAUGAGGUCCCUGCAAACCCAGAACCAUCUGUAGCUCCUCUGAAUUUAAAUGAUGAUAUGA
Molecule: unclassified non-coding RNA, 413 nt
Filed under: Hevea brasiliensis (rubber tree)
Lineage: Eukaryota; Viridiplantae; Streptophyta; Magnoliopsida; Malpighiales; Euphorbiaceae
Source: RNAcentral